Molecule: ribosomal RNA, 468 nt
Filed under: uncultured bacterium
Lineage: Bacteria
Description: partial 16S ribosomal RNA
Rfam family: Bacterial small subunit ribosomal RNA
Source: RNAcentral
GACGAACGCUGGCGGCGUGCUUAACACAUGCAAGUCGAACGGAAAGGCGCUGCGUUUGUGGGUUUCUCGAUUGGCGAACGGGUGAGUAACACGUGAGUAACCUGCCCUUGACUUUGGGAUAACUUCAGGAAACUGGGGCUAAUAUCGGAUAUGAGCUCCUGCUGCAUGGGGUGGGUUGGAAAGUUUCGGCGGUUGGGGAUGGACUCGCGGCUUAUCAGCUGGUUGGUGGGGUAGGGGCUUACCAAGGGUUUGACGGGUAGCCGGCCUGGGAGGGUGACCGGGCACAUUGGGACUGAGAUACGGCCCAGACGCCUACGGGAGGCAGCAGGGGGGAAUAUUGCACAAUGGGCGGAAGCCUGAUGCAGAAACGCCGCGUGCGGGAUGACGGCCUUCGGGUUGUAAACCGCUUUCGCCUGUGACGAAGCGUGCGUGACGGUAAUGGGUAAAGAAGCACCGGCUAACUACGUG